Molecule: ribosomal RNA, 371 nt
Filed under: uncultured bacterium
Lineage: Bacteria
Description: bacterial SSU rRNA
Rfam family: Bacterial small subunit ribosomal RNA
Source: RNAcentral
GUAGGUGGCGAGCGUUGUCCGGAUUUACUGGGCGUAAAGAGCGCGCAGGCGGUCGAUCAAGUCGGAUGUGAAAGCCCCCGGCUCUACUGGGGAGGGUCAUUCGAUACUGAUCGACUCGAAGGCAGGAGAGGGAAGCGGAAUUCCCGGUGUAGUGGUGAAAUGCGUAGAUAUCGGGAGGAACACCAGUGGCGAAGGCGGCUUCCUGGCCUGUUCUUGACGCUGAGGCGCGAAAGCUAGGGGAGCAAACGGGAUUAGAUACCCCGGUAGUCCUAGCUGUAAACGAUGGACACUAGGUGUUGGUGGUAUCAACCCCGCCAGUGCCGUAGCUAACGCAUUAAGUGUCCCGCCUGGGGAGUACGGCCGCAAGGCUA